GAAGUUACGAUCAAAAGAAUUUGAGUGGCACAAUCAUAAAUAUUUCGAAGUUCAGAUUUCUUUUUAACCCAGAUUCUGCUGUUUCUGAUUUUGGGGACGACCAACCAUUUUCAAACUUCGAUUUCUCCUCUGUCCAGUCACCAAAUCGAGUGCCACAACUUGCAAUCUCUUCGUCUCUUUCUCCUCAUUCCAUAAAUAUCCAUAAUUAGCAUCUUCUUGGUCUUUUCCGGCCGUUUCCGGCCACCAUCUCCGGCAAAAGAGGUAUGGUUUCUCAUCUAUUUCUCGAGCUCUAGCUAAUGGUUGGAUAGGAUUGGAUCAAUUUCUAGCGUAGAUAACCCAAAUCACGAAUUGAAAUUUGGCCGGAUUUCGGGAUGAGAUUUCGGCCACUUCUACUCGUUUUUCGGGGUAUGCCGAAGAACAAAAGUGACUCCAAAUAAGGUUUUACAUCUAGGGUAGGAAUCUUGGCCCACAGUUUGAAGUAUUUCCGGCCGUAGGAAUUUGAUCUGCACACCUAAGCAUUGCCGGAGCGUGGCGGCGCAUGGGUACUGUGUUUUGGGGCAACGUUCUGUCCUAAAAUGAUCAUUGUGAUCUCACAAGUGCGUAUGUACUUUCGGAUUCCAAUUUUGUUAAUGUUUGAACUCCGAAGGGAUAUCCUCUAUUGUGCGAUUUCUGGGUUCGAUAAGUUUGAACCAUUGGAUUGCUGUCAAUUUCAUAUAUAUUGAUUAAGCCAAUUCUAGGAUCGUGUAGGAUUUGACGGAUCGUGAAUUGGAGUUCCGGAUACUUCGAAACCACGAACCCCAAGGCAAGAUUAAUUGUUGUCAUCUGAUCGUGAUCAAUCCGACCGUUCAAUUUGGACCAGACUUGCAGGGUAGGUUCAAAAUAGUGUUUAAAUGACCCUGUAAAUGGGCCUUGACCGAGAAUGAGUUAUCUGGGUCAUGUUACGUAUUAAGUAUAGAUAGCUACUUAUAAAUUGCUAGAUUGUGCAUAUAAGUAUAGUUGAGAAUCAAUUUAUUAGAAAAUUGAUAUAAAGGUCGGGUAAUGGAUUGAAAAAUAAAGGGAGAGUAUUGAUAUAAGUUUGGGAGAAUCUCGGUUUUGAGAUGUUCUUAAACUAAAAUAGAGUGAGUUCAAUAUAUGACUUAUUUAUAAUCAGUAUAUGAUUGUUACGAGUAUUGGAAAGUUGCAAAGCAUUGUUUUAGAGUUGUUAAUAUGAUUGAGUACAUCACACACAUGAGAAUUCAGUUUGACUUGCAAAAUACAUGGCAAUAUGAUGAAUGAAUAAGAUAUUCAAUUACAGUAUUAAAGGGAAAGAACUACAUGUGGCUUGAUCCCUCAGUAAGGGUAUGUAGGCAGCCUAAUGUUACAAGGUGCAGCCACAAGUUAGAGUGUUUGAGAUUGCUAAUGUACUGUUGAUGUUUUGAAAGUUGAGAUGAAUUUUAUUAGUAGAAUGAUUUAUUUGAUUUGUUGAGGCCUGAGGCCAGAAUGAUAUGAUGCUUGAUUGCUUUGAUAUAAUUCAAUGCAUGCUGAAUGAUUGGGAUAUAUAAAUGUUUGUUGACAGGUGGAAACUUUUGAGAAACAAGCAAAUUACAGGGGAGACUGCCGAAUUUUCGGCAAAAGUCUAGCUGAUAGAAAAAUUCGUUUCUAGUUAGAAGGACGAUUUGGUCAUUUGUGCUCGGCAUUCUUCAGGUGUCGGACACGCAUAGGGUUCGGCUCGAAUUCCAAAGUGGUCGGGUCCUGUCAUAUAAUCCUGCCUAGCUUUCAACAAGUUGAAUAGAUAUGGAGAAAGGUUCAUUCAAGUCAGCUUUCUUCAUUGUGCUCUUUCUUGUUUCAUAUGAUGGUAAAAUACUUCUCUCAAUAUUUAUUUUUGUUACAAUGAAAGAGAAAUUUAUUCUUGACAUACUAUAAUCAUACGUUAAUCCUAACAACCUAGGCUAACUUGAAGGGUUGACUUCUUUGAAGAAUACAACUGCAUAUAUGAAAUUUUUUUUUUCCUCUGACGUGGUUGAGUUCACUUAUUUUUAAAAUGUGUAUAUGUCGUUCAUACAUUGUGAAAAUUAUAUACUUUAACCUAACAAUUGUCGAUAUUUUCAGCCAUAAAGUUGAGUUUAAGUGUAUAUUUUCGUAACAUAAACUCAUGCAUAAAGCAGUAUGUUCACAAUAAAGGCAAAAAACAAUUUUAUUAUGAAUUAUGGAAAUAUUAAUUGUGGUAGGUGUGCAAUUUGGAGCCGAAGCAAGAGGUCCAGUUGUUCGUUAUCCGUGCCAAACAUCUACUCCAUGCGGCCCAUGCACAUGCGUUGAGAAUUGGUGUAAGUGUCCACCAGAUAAAAUAUCGAAGUUCAUUCUUCAAGACAUCUCUACACACCCGCAAGCACAGAAGGAAAUGCCAUAAUCAGCGCUACUUGAUACAUUAAUAUAUAUCAUUGCUCGAAUGACUGUCUAAAUGAGGCUUGACUGUUUGUG
RNAcentral lists this long non-coding RNA (2457 nucleotides) under Prunus dulcis (almond). Its description in RNAcentral is "sRNA ncRNA". Lineage: Eukaryota; Viridiplantae; Streptophyta; Magnoliopsida; Rosales; Rosaceae. The record is from RNAcentral.